Molecule: long non-coding RNA, 2050 nt
Filed under: Venturia canescens
Lineage: Eukaryota; Metazoa; Arthropoda; Insecta; Hymenoptera; Ichneumonidae
Description: uncharacterized LOC122409479, transcript variant X2
Source: RNAcentral
UAUUCACUGAUUUUUCCACAGUUUCUCGCGCGUCAGGGAUUUUAUUGAGAGUAUAUGGAUCUCUUGCUCUAGCUUGAAAACUGCGCAACACUUGCUCCAUCUUUAUCUCUCUCAUACUCCAGGCGACGGGUGUACCGUUUUAUAACAUAUACUUGUUUUUUCUACGUAUCGUCGACAGCGAUGUGUACAUGGGGCUUACAUAGGUGCUAUGUAGAAAACUAUGUAUAAAUAUAAAAAUGGGAUCAUCGAAUCGCGCCAUUCUAGAAUCGAAAUUUUUCAAGCUGACCCCAAGAAAACGAGGCGAAAGUGUUUUGGUUUCUCUGACCCUCAUCUCAGUGAGCCACCGUUCCUUGCAGAGACCCUGCGAAUGAAGAACGCCAUUUUCUGCCUCACUUUUUUCGAGAAAAUCUCAUUGGAACACCGCCCUACGAGUUGGAUAUCGAGGCAGUUCUGUCGAUAUUCGUGGGAGUAUCAGCAACUUUUGUUUUGCAUAACUCGCUCCUCAGAUCGUGCCCAUUUCGUCAUCAGUCCCGUUACAAAGUGCUUGUGUAUCACACGCGUUUGUCUAUAUCUAUUUCAUAUUACAAGUCUGGUUUUCAGACGUGGGGAAAAUGAAUCUAAUGCGUCCUGGCGACGCGGAGAGUGUCCACCGGGCAGGUAUAUAUACCGGUCUACCGGACACUGCAGCUCUCAAACGAGCGAUCACGCGCCAGCCAUGCACACUGCAUACUUCUCUUCUCCUGCAGCAUAUAACGACCGAUAUACAUGUACUUUCGAACACGAGGCUUUUCGCAUCGGCUUGACCAACUGCUCAAUCGAUUUUUUCAUCUUUGUAAAAGACGAUGCGAAAAAAUAAGAUUCUUGAAAAGAAGUUUUGUUCCGGAACACUUGAAUCCUCGGCUUGAAGCGUCUCUUUAAAAAGUAAGAAAAAAAUCUGUUUUCAGCCAGUCGGAGUCCCCAGAAUUUUCAGGCUCGAAAAAAUUUGCCUGUUUCCCAAACAUUGCUCAAAACACCGCGCGAUGUUUUGAAUUGAAAUGAGCCCCACCUUCAUCGUGUUUAUGACGAAACUCGGAUCUCCAGAGUUUAGGUAAACAGACAAAAGUACAGGAAGUAACCGGAAACUUUAUUGCGAUUCCGGGGAUAAAAAGUGGAUGCUGAGAAGAAAAAUCGUUGAUGAGAUUCCCCGCGGGAAAAGGAGCGCGCAAGAGGCGAUUUGGCGUUGAACGGUUCGUGCGUGGAUAUCCACAAGGUGCAUGACGCGGAGCUAAGGAUUAUUGCGUAAGGCAAUGUGAAGCAGGAGCAAGAGAGCAAGGCGAGUUGCUGGACUGAUGCUUCUGUACGAGGUUGUGUUUCAUGUUCUAUUAGGCGGUGAGCUCUCCAUGUGCGCCCAUCAUAUCCGUGUUCCGUGAGAAGCAACUUCUUCCCCAUCAACCUACUUAGACUUCCUUACGUACGAGCGAUAUCUUGAUAUUAAAAUGCGGCUCUUCGAUCCCAGACAAAGAAUUCACUGAUCGACUAUUCUGAAGAAUCGCAACGCCGCAACAAAAGUACCCACCAUUUGGUUCAACUACAGUUGAUAAUCGUGCUACCGAAACGACAAUGCGCCACGAUAUACGUACAGGUUUAUAUGGCGAUUAAUACGUACGUGGGAACGCGGACGAUUAGCGGAAUUUCCAUCGCGGGCGCGUCUCGAUAUCUGUUGCACACUCCGUAGCAGUUAAAGAUAUACAAGUAAUCUGCAUUGUAUAUAGUUAUAUGCAUAAAUAUCUGCAUGUACAUCGUUUGAAAGCGAGAGCGCGGUCGAGGCCAAGCCAUAAAACCCAUUGCUGAAGAUCGACGCGCAGAUAUACGAAUAACGAGACACAGAAUCGUCCCAUGUGCUUUCACUAUUAACUAUCAUUUUUGUUUCUUUUUUUUUUCAUUCAAACGAAGCUCAACGACCGCUUCAAAUUUAAACAUAUCGUUAUGGCCAACUGCUUAAAUGAAGCUUGAACAAGUACCCAUUCAAUGUGAAAUACAUCGCUUCUGCUAUUCCAAUAUUUUCUUUCAU